RNAcentral lists this unclassified non-coding RNA (633 nucleotides) under Hevea brasiliensis (rubber tree). Lineage: Eukaryota; Viridiplantae; Streptophyta; Magnoliopsida; Malpighiales; Euphorbiaceae. The record is from RNAcentral.
GAGAGAUCCCUCGCAGAUCAAAUGUGCCCGUUCGUUCACUUCAUCAAUUGCACCGUACAAGCUAUCCUCUUCAUUUUCCUUUUAUUUCAAUCUCUAUAGCUCUCGUUAAUCUCUUCUUUUCUCUCGGUCCUUUGGAGCCUUGUGUUUCAUAUAGUAGUCAAGAUGGCUGGGAUUCCUAUAUGCGUCCAGUGUGGGACGACUGCCAACCCUUUCCGGUGCAAAGUGGUCGGCCCAACUCUUGGGUUCUUGGCGUUUGCUGUGGUGGCGAUCGUGGAAUGGCCGGUGGGGGCUUUUGUUUACCUGUUUAAACACAGGAAGGGACGCAGGAUCAUGGCCCAUCCGGCCGCCGUUGUUUAUCCGUCAGUCACCAGUACAAUACUUAUCUAAUGCUUUCUUAUGAUAUAUGUGCACAACUAUCCUUUUAUUUUUUUUUAAUUAGCAGACACGAGUAUCUUGUUUGGGUGUGUAAUGUGCUGUGUUUUUUAUUUCGCCGAUAUCCCGUGGGGCAAACUGCAAUGUUGGUCUUUGUAAUAUGAAAUUUCAUAAUAUAUAAUAAGGAUAAUGUAUAUAAUACUAAUUUUAUCAGGUUCAUAUUUCAAUGGGUAACUCAAAUUCGUUUUUAUAAUAUUGGAG